This 248-nucleotide ribosomal RNA is filed under the name Azadinium spinosum. Its description in RNAcentral is "partial Bacterial large subunit ribosomal RNA". It matches the Rfam family "Bacterial large subunit ribosomal RNA", at positions 2454 to 2701 of the family's 2925-position model. Lineage: Eukaryota; Dinophyceae; Gonyaulacales; Amphidomataceae. The record is from RNAcentral.
GGAUAAAAGCUACCCCGGGGAUAACAGGCUUAUCUCCCCCAAGAGUUCAUAUCGACGGGGAGGUUUGGCACCUCGAUGUCGGCUCGUCGCAUCCUGGGGCUGGAGAAGGUCCCAAGGGUUGGGCUGUUCGCCCAUUAAAGUGGCACGCGAGCUGGGUUCAGAACGUCGCGAGACAGUUCGGUCUCUAUCUACAGUGGGCGUUAGAGAUUUGAGUGGACCUGCUUCUAGUACGAGAGGACCGAAGCGGA